RNAcentral lists this transfer RNA (69 nucleotides) under Lemur catta (Ring-tailed lemur). RNAcentral's name for it is "tRNA-Ala". It matches the Rfam family "tRNA". Rfam says of the family: Transfer RNA (tRNA) molecules are approximately 80 nucleotides in length. Their secondary structure includes four short double-helical elements and three loops (D, anti-codon, and T loops). Lineage: Eukaryota; Metazoa; Chordata; Mammalia; Primates; Lemuridae. The record is from RNAcentral.
GAGGAUUUAGCUUAAUUAAAGUGAUUGAUUUGCGUUCAGUUGAUGUAAGACAUAAUCUUGCAGUCCUUA